This 1166-nucleotide unclassified non-coding RNA is filed under the name Hevea brasiliensis (rubber tree). The record is from RNAcentral. Lineage: Eukaryota; Viridiplantae; Streptophyta; Magnoliopsida; Malpighiales; Euphorbiaceae.
GAACAUAAAAAAAAUUGAAAGAAAAAUAAGAAUAGAAUAAAUUUUUUUUUUAUAAAAAAAUGGCACUCAGAGCUAGCUAUUUAUCGGCAAAGAAAAAAAAUCUAAUUAAACUGUUUAAAAGAAAACAUUGAAUAAACGGCCAUAGAGCCGUUUGAAAGACAAAUAACCGGCCAUUACAAUGUCAAACGUUGAUAUUGGGAAUGAAAUAAUCCUCAGUUAAUCCCGAAUUAUAUUUCAACAUCAGGGAUUUUAGCUUCUCAAUCCACUGAUUUCUCUUGAUGCAGCUUAUUAAAUUCCUCAACAACAUCCAAAAUUCCUAUUUCCCCAAACCAUCUACAUAACUCUUCAAAAAAUUAAUUCCAAGAGGCCAAUGGCUUUUGGAUUUGCCACCCUUGAAACUAAUUAUCAGCUUUUCCCCCAAAAAAUAGGGUAGCCACCUCAACCUUCUGCUCCUCAGGCACCUGGAAGUAACGCUGGCAUUUCCUAACCCAUAACCUAGGGUUUUCACCAUCAAAUUGGGGCAAUUCUAUUUUUAAUUUCAUAGGAUUAUUCCAACUUACAGAAUCGAUGGAAUUUCCCCCACUUGACUCACCAACCUUCUUUCCCUUCGGAAGAGUCAAAAUUCUCCUCACCUCAUAAGCUAGGAAGCCUGAUUUAGGAAUCAAAUUAACCACAGGAGUAGAAGAGUCUUUACCUUUUUGCUGUGAAUCCUUGAACAUUUCCAGCACCCGAUCCAAUUUCUGCGCCAGUUUCAACUUGUUACGAUCCAUUUUCUGAAAAAUCUCACUAUGUUCCUCACGUUUUCUCAAAUCAGUCCCAUGUAAUUCCUAGCUCAGAUCUUGCAAUAUUUGUUCUAGAGUUUGCAUUUGUUUUUCAAUUCCUUGUGAUGGCCCUAUCUGGCUCUGCACCACCAUCACUUGUUUCUUCCUCGCCAGCUUUAAUUCAGCUAGGGCUGGAUCCUCUGAAUCGACGAGCUCUGAUACCAUGUUGUCAGGCCUUCUGGACAUAAGACCUAACUCACAAUCUCAGAGAAGGUUUUAAUUAGAGGGAACGAGAACAGAAUAUUGAAGAGAAGAGGAAGAGAGAAGAAUAACAGAGAAGAUUCAAGAAAGAGAGAAAAAGGGGGAGAGAAAAUAGAGAAAAUAUUAGGGAGAAACUGGUAUUUG